This 1292-nucleotide long non-coding RNA is filed under the name Anser brachyrhynchus (Pink-footed goose). Its description in RNAcentral is "lncRNA (ENSABRG00000014752.1)". The record is from RNAcentral. Lineage: Eukaryota; Metazoa; Chordata; Aves; Anseriformes; Anatidae.
GUAUCAGCAAGCUCUUUACAGUAGACCUUUGCUUAGGUCAGGAAUGCAAUGUGUCUCCUGGAACAGAUGAUGCUUUCUUGGAGAUCGUCCUUUUAUUUGCAAAACCAGUCGUUGUCUUGUGAUGACUUUAGUUGUGGCAUUCCCUGUUCUACCCAUCCAGUUUGCAUCUCUGGUUUGUGUUUUCCAGGGCCCAGCAGCAAUUGUGGAGGUACUUGCUGCGCAUGAUGCUGCAGCCCUCUGCUCCUUCUUGCAUGUGCCAGCUCACUGCAUCCUCCACCCUGCUCUAAGGGUUUCCCAUGCUGAAUUAUGCUGGUUUUGGAGCUUGAUUCUGUUUGCUAUCCCAAGCAAAAAAGGGGAAUGUCCGGCAGAGGCACCCCAUGUGGGUGGUAAAGUUGCCCGCGACCCGUCCCCAGGCCGUGCAGAACUGGAAGUGCUGCCUGCGCGCAGCUGCAGCCCUCAGCGUGCAGGAGCCUCUGCAACAGCUCCGCUUCCCCGAGAGGGGACUUUGCCAGAGGAAUGGCACUGGCAUGGAUUCAGCAGCCAUACGCCUACUCUCGCUUCCUACGCACCCUUUUGUACUGUCACCGUGGAUCAGCGUGGGAGCACAGCUUCACAGUAACUGAGAUCUUCAUGAUUUUUAAUGUGUUUAUUCUCCUGUGGCCCUCACGCCAAAGUUUUCCAGCAGCUUUCAAUUUUAAUCACCAAAAUGGCUUCACAUCUGUGCAGUGGGAGAAGAUUCUCCUGUGUAGGUUGUUUGCUGAAAGCUUUGGGGCUUACGGGAUAAAACUUAUCUAGAUGCAUCAGUUAGUUUUAUUAUGGUAGUAAACUUGCUCUUGGCAAAUGUGUCGUCGCAACAGAUGAUAUUCUUCCCUUUGGUAGGAAACUAGUGAGAAGCUGCAAAUCAUUUGUAGUCUAUAUUGAUUUAUCAGGUACUUAAGGUCUCACUUUGAGCUGUCUGCGCACAGCUGUCCUUCCAUGCAGCAGGCAGACAAGUAGUUUAAGUGCCUUCAGCAAAAAGUGCUGCCCCUGGAUUUAGGAGAAAGCCUCUGACAUUCAGAACCGAUCGGCUCUUUUAUGAGGCGAAUGGAUAAAGACACAGCUUACACUGUUGCAAUCAUAACAUAAGAAAAAAACCAAAACAGCUGAUCUUUUGAAGUUUGUCCAAGCGGUGUCCCUCCUGGUAACAUUGAAAAACUUAGGCUGUUAUGGUGGUGGGCAGAAGUAUAUGAUGUACGAAUGUGCUUAGAAAUUUUAAACAUAUCCUUAUGAAAAUAAAGUAUUCCAUGAUGUCA